Molecule: long non-coding RNA, 452 nt
Filed under: Pan troglodytes (chimpanzee)
Lineage: Eukaryota; Metazoa; Chordata; Mammalia; Primates; Hominidae
Description: long non-coding RNA NONPTRT003782
Source: RNAcentral
CACUUGGGGCCGCUACAUACAAGUAGAAGGAGGGGUCACCGAGUUGCUGCGCUGCUCCCGGAGCCCUUCUUCAGUACAAAUGCCCCGCGCCCUCGGCAAGGGCGUCCUGAGCAGGAGACCUGAGUGAGCGGGGAGGAGCAGAUGGGCACUGCUGUGGUGGGAGCAAGGGAAGAAAGUGGGUGUGAGAAGGAAACGGGGAAAUAGAAUGCGCAGGAGUCUAAAGGACCGGGGUGAUGUGGCGUGAAGGGGUGAGAAGACGCUUGGGGACAAAAGCGUGACAGGAGAUUUGGGGAUGACGAAGGAACGAUAUCUGUGCUUGAGAAAGUUUUGGAGAAUGUUGGAGCAAAAAAGGAGUAACCAGACCAUCGCAGAAAAACAAUUUUCCCUCAAUGCUCAAGUCUCAUCAAAAAGGAACAUUUGGAGGUGCACAGUGGCUCACACCUAUAAUCCCA